This is a long non-coding RNA of Motacilla alba alba, 13465 nucleotides long. RefSeq lists it as uncharacterized. The transcript has 9 exons. The record is from RefSeq and is a predicted model, not a curated record. Lineage: Eukaryota; Metazoa; Chordata; Aves; Passeriformes; Motacillidae.
UGUAUUUCUACCAGGUUAUAAAUGAGAUUUCUUUAGGGUACAAGACCAAUGAAGUUCAAAUGUGUAUAUUUUAAAGACUCAAUAAGAGAGAGAAUAUAGGCUGGAAAUACAUUAUGAUAAGCUAAGAUAGGUUGGUGGUUCCUCCCACCUCCUUUUUUAAAUUUCCUCUAUAAGGGAAGUGGGAUUUUGUAACAAAAGGAUCAUUUUGUCCAUGUCUGACACUCAAAUUCAAAAACCAUGUUGAAACAAUUAAGUUGUAAUUCUUAUGAUUUCACUAGAAACCUCCUCAUUGGAAGUCACUUAUAGCCCCAUUGGCUGAGAGCUUUCAAAAAAGUAAAAAAAGGUAGUUUUGCUACCUUUGAAUGAUGAUGGUACAAAAUUACACUUCUGUGAGUUAUAUAAGAGUCUGGACCUAAAGCAUGAGCUUUGAUAAGUAUUAAUUUUAUUGGUGUCAGACUUGUAUAACAGUGCAAAGUUGUGUGCAGUUUUUUGUGGUAAAUUUUAGAUACAGGUGGUGAGAACCACUUUUGUAGGUAGUGAAGUGUGUAAGAGAGUUACAGUUUCUUUAACUUUAGUAGUUAUGUUGAAAAUUCUUGCUUAUACCUAACCUGAAGUUCUUACAGGUUAAUCUCAGAGGUAUGGGGAAUAUUCCUCUCUUUGUACAUUGAGUUCUCUAGCUUUGAGGAACAAUCUGUGCUGAAGUGAUUUUAGGGUGUCCUUUCUUGGAAAUAAAGCCUGGUUUAAGUUUUUGAGGUUAAGGGUGGCAUGUGCAUCUGUCCAGAUCCAAAUACAAACUUAUAUCUCUCUCACUUUGUUAUGCUUUCUUUUAGGAAAUGCUGCACUUUCAAGUACCGUAACUUUUGUAGCAAUGUUGCUGGUACAGUUUUGUCAGAUGUAAUCACUUUGGAAAUGCUUUCAAAAGUAAUACAGAGUGCUGUGGAGAAAUCUCAUAUGCUUUUAGAAAUAACGCUGGAACUGGACUGCAAGGAAAACAUUACUUGACUCUGAUCAACGUGCAAUUUUCUGCACCAGAAGACAAGAAGGGAACAGCAGUUGUUAACAAAUAAGCCAUGCCUGUUGCAGCUGAUGUAACUGUGGGGGACCUGCCUGUGAGACAUACAGGUCUAACUCCAGCUGGAAUUGAAGGAUUACAAGGUAAUUUAAAGUUGUCUUGGUUUGGGUGGAAUCAUCAACUGCACAGAAUAUAAAAGCUCAACAACCUAGGUAACAAAUCAGUCAAGAAGAACUGGAGGACAGGUUUCUUCAUGUACAUGAUGAUCACUUCUUACUCAAGCAACAUGCAAAUGAGCAAGAGGAGAAAACCUAAAGCAUUCCUUGCCAAAACCCUUUUAACUAGAAGUUUGGAAUGAAUUUGCAGUAGAAGAAUAUUGAAAAAACUCCAUGUAAACAAAAAACCUGCUUACAGGCAAGUAACAUUCUGUGACAUCCUGAAGUUAUUAGAGAUUUUUUUUUUGUUUCACUUUUGUUCUUUUAAGUAGAAGCUUCUGUCCACAAGUAUACAAAAAAUAAAACAAGUCCCUUUAAACAAAUGAAGUGUGUCCUUAUUUUCAGUUUUCUUUCUGGGCCUUCAAAAAUAGAUUUCCUGUAAACUAGAUACAGGUCUCAAAGAUGUGCAACUGACUUUGUAAAGUCUUGAACUUGUCUCUCUCAUCAAAGCCACCUUUUCUUUCUUUAUAUGCCAAAUUUUUUGCAUUCACUUCUGGGUAUGUUUUCUGUUCAUGCAUGUUACAUCACCCCCAUGUGCCCUCACUGCCUUUUGUUCUAGCUUACCAAUGUUUAUCAGAACUAAAGGAAAUCAAAGGUACAACCUUUGAGAUACCAAAAGCAAAAUUUGUAUCCUUCUAAAGACAGAUGACAGCCAUACCCUCUGUAUCUAAUUAUAUUCUGCAGCUAACUGUUCCUUCUCCAAAGCACACUGGAAAUAUUUGCCAAGUAUAAAAUUGAGUAUGGUAAUAAGAACUAAGUCUCUUUUUCCAGAAUACCUUCUUAAAUAUCUCCACCUAUAUAUUUCAGCCACUUUAGACAUGGAAUAUAUAUUUAAAUCCCAAAAUACUAGAAAUUGUAUAUAAUUGGAAUGGUGCAUAUUAUUAGCAUUCUUUCAAUAGUUGAAUGUUCUGUGGAAUUGUAGCUUUUAUAGUUAGCCCCACCACAUCCCAAAUCUGUAACUUUACUUAACAGCAUGCAGAGGUUCCUAUAUAAGGUCAUGCGUUAAAAAUUACAUUUAAGCACCAUAUGGAGUAAAUAUGUGUCCUCCCUUUACUAACCUUAAAUGAUAAGCCUUAGGAAACUGUUAUUUGUCAGUGCUAUAAAGCAGAUUGCUGCACAGUGGUUUCAAUUAUCUUCAAAGAGUUCUUCACAGGCAGUAAUAGUUAUAUCAAAACCUGAAAUUUAUUAUUCAGGUUCUACGCUGAAGUCUUCACAGUGAUUAUGUUCCUUUCAACAGAAUGCUUUUUAUGCUGACUUUUCACAUUCUUUUUCAUCUUUUUUAUUAUUUUCCCCAGAAUGACCACCAAGUUAAUACAGCUUGCUAAUGAUAAAAAAAGUCUGAACAGGUUGGUGGCGGCCCCAAGUGGCUGGGUCAGGCCUGGAGCUGGAAGAAAGGAUUGUGGAUUGACAAGAUCAAGUUCAUGAGCUUGAGAAACAAAAUGAGAGCCUCCCCCUUCAGCUGACCAGAGCUCCAGAAUCCAGGCCACAGACCUUGUCCAUACAGCUGUGUUCAAUCUUUUAUUAGCAGUGCUCUCAGAAAAGUGAGUAAGGUUGCUGAUAUGCCAGAGCACACAAGGAAAGGUGUAGUUCAGAUUUAUUAAAAACACUGGUUUAUAUCCUAACAAUUGCUUCGCUGUAGCAAGUCCAUACUCUUUUUUGUUCAUCAGUGGGCAAUAAUAGUACCUGUAGGCAGAAAGAUUGUCUUUUCCCCUUGUUCUUGUAUUUAUUUAUAGCAGUCAUGAUAACUUGCUUGCCUUUGAAGUCCUUAUUAUGAGAAUCCACAGUAGUUGGGGUUAAACAAAAGUACAGAUUUGAGAGGACAGUAGCUAGCAGGCAAGUUUUCUAAUAGUUAAAAUCAUUGGACUUCCUUAGUAAAACUUCUCUACAUGUUAAAGGGUUAUAAAAGUAGUAUAUGAAAAAGUUUAGUGUUUUCAUGUUAUAACAAAGUUUCACAUCUGUAGUUUGUUUGCACAUGUUUUUCCUUCUUUAAUUUCAAGGUUUGUUCUAAUCUCUCGAUACAUGUGUGCACAGCGCUGCAGACUUGAAAAAUCUCUCACACGUGUGGACUUUGAAAAGCAAAUAUUACAGUGCAGGCAUCUAUAAUGGUGCUUUUUGCUCUUGAGACUUUCUGCUUAAGGCAGGCUUCCUCUCAGGCCUUUACUUCCUGUAGUUACAUUUGGGAAUCACACUUUAAAGCUUUCAUAUUUUCAUAGGAACAUUAUCAGUUAACCUAUACACUGAACUGAUAAUGUAUUUUCAAAAACCCCCAACAGCUACAGCACUGCUUCAAACCUGAGCCAGUAGAAUUGUCUCCUUAACUUCCAGAAACUAUGGAUCAAGCUGGUGGCCAGUUACACCCUCACACCAGUCUUAAUUUUUAUUACAUUGAUUCAGGUAUAUGAUAACAGCAACAAUUCUCAUAUUUUUGGAUUAAAAAAAUGUGUUUGUUUCUACCAGUUUGCCUUUCCAAUCUAUUUAUAGUGGAAGUUUUGAUGAUUUUCAUACACCUGUGUUUUUACACUUCAUAUCGUUGAUUGGGCAGUUUUAUUCCCAGAAUCAAUUUGUUUGGUUUUUGUCUUAACAAUGCAAAAGUAGGCUGGAAAUAUAAUACAUUUAUUCAGGCCCAGUGCUACCAGAUAGAAGAGGGACUUGGUUCUGGGAAUACAGAUCAAAUGUUGAUAUGACAGAGUGGGAGGGCUUAUCUUGUUAUAAAAACAGAUCCAGAUCUAAGAUGUCCUGUACAGAACUAGGAUUGGGACCAUAUAUAUAUUCUUAAACUGAAGCACACAUGAGUAAUUAAAAAAAAAAAGGCAAAAAAAAGGAAAAGUUGUUCACAGAAUGUCCAGCUCAGAUAACAAUGUUCAGAAAUUUCAUAGAAGUUCUGAUGUGUCUGUCUGUUUUCUGAGGCCUUGUCCAAAUCAGAGGGGAUUCUGGUAAUUUGAGUGCUUUGAAUAUGCAAUUUCUUGAACACUUUUUCUUAAGGUGAAGGCUUAAGAAAAGAAAUCUAGUAACCAAUACUCAGAACUUGAACACAGAAGCAUUGUCUUCCAUAAGCACAGAGAAUACUUUCUAUAAUAUUCAUUAAGCAUAGACUGUUUCAUGUUUUUGCCUUGCAUAUGUGCUUGUCCUGCCCUUUUGAUCAAUUAUGAUAAACCAAACAGACUGAUCUUGGGUUUGUGCCCUCUUUUUUUUAAAGACUGCUGAACUCUUAGAUUGCUCAGUCAAACCUCUCAAAUAAUUUCUAGUGCAGAUCAGAAAACAUGCAGGACACUUACCCAAAAAUAAAAUGCCUGGAAAAAAUCAGGAGAGCUUGGCUGUCUCUAGGAUGUGAAGAGACAAAAAAAAUCCACAAAGAAUAUACCUUACUGUGUCUGCUUUAUGUUUGGCUGUUUUAAAAAUACCAUAGCAAAUUGAUCCAAAAGAACUUCAAUUUAAUUCUUGCAAAAUUUUAGGUAUAAGUUCAUAGCAAACAAUUUAACGUUCAUUGCUACCCAUGAAUGAUUUGGAAUCUAGCAAUAGUAGAAAACGAUUGGCCUUGUAUGAGGGUAGAGUAGCAAAUUAGGUGUAGUUGUGCAGUGCAGCAAAGUCAGCCAAAUAUGCAUGCAGAAUGUGUUCAUAAUAAAGCCUCUAUUAGUUAAGUCUUCUUUCUUUCUUUCUCUUUUUUACUUUAAAAAAAAUACAUGUAAAAUUCUGCAGCUUUACAUGUAUUUUCCCCUUUUUGUUUCAGACUGUUACCUGUGGUGGUGUUAAGGAUCUAGUAUGGCAUGAUCCUGCAGUCCUCACUCGUUUGAUUUCAGUGGAAGUUCUCCUUGAUGAGAAAUAUGUCAUCAGUUCUUUAGCUACCUUUCAAGGGAGGGACCCCGUUAUUAUGUAGCCUAAAGAACUUAAAGACCAACCAUGAUUCUUAGCAAAAGGUGAUGAACUGAAUGAACGGCUUAAAGAGGAGCAGUUAAAAUAGUUCCAUCUUCAAAAUAAAUUGCAAUCAGUAGCUAUUUCAAACAGAGGGACUGAGGAGGUGAGCUUGUGGGCAAGAGCUAGGAUCUUUUACUUUAGGUAGUGCAUACAGAUAAGGGAAAAAGAAGUGUUGGGAUACAUUUCAAUGGAGGAGAUGUGAAUAGACCUUUCAAACAUAUUUGGAAGACUAACCUGGUACUAUAUAUAUUUUUAUCCUAUUCAAAAGAAAAACUUCUGACCAAAAUGCUGUUUGUAUUUCAUAGAACUGUGAUCCAAUACUGAACACCUGAUCCAAUAUUUGAAGUUAAUAUAUUAGACAAUAUUUGAAGUUAAAGCAUAAGACAUCAUGUCAAUUCUGGUAGUAAAAAAGUGGUUUAUUAAUAGAAAAAACCCAUGAUACUUGGUUUAUUGAUCAUGUAUUGCUAGUUUUUAGUAUUCUUUGAACCUGAUUUAAUUAGAGUACAGUGUUACAUUUUAUGCAGCAGUUCAAAUCAGUCACUUCUAUUUCUUGUCUUGUGACUCUGAGAGACUUCUGUCAUCGCUAACAAGUUGUCCAGAUACAGGGCUAAACAUCAGAUAGGGAGUGGUUUCUUCCCCAUUUUCUUCAAUGUAUAAGGAAUAAAAAUGUGAAAACUUACUUGAUUUUUCUUGCAUUUUGUAGCAACUUAAUAUUUAGUUUUGCCACCUGCUUUACCUAUUGUAAAUAAAUGUAUUUUAGAUGAACCAAGUUUACCUCAUAGAUAUUUUCACCAAACAUUUUAAAUGUUGUAAUGCAUAGAGGGUAGAUAUUCUCUGUUUAAGUAUCUCAUGUCUUUAAACCAGAUCCUGCUGUAGUGAGUGUUUUGGAAGCAAGGCUGUGUUGUUGUCACUAAAAAUAUUUUCUAUGCAAAAGCCAUGCCCUAGCUAAUACUGAUAUUCACUUACUAAAAGGGAAUUUAAAAUAGAAUGCUCCAGGUUUUUAUAUUGUUUUGCAUAAGAUGGAAUGCGAUUAGAUACUGUUGACCAACUGCAACUUACUACUCUCAGCUUCAACUAAACAGCAUGGAAAAGACUUUGGGCUAAUGUAAAUCCAUAUGGAUUUAUCUUAUAAAGCUUCUAAGAGACAGUUGUAUUCAAAGAACAAAUAAUAAUAGCCUGACACUGCCCAAAAAUUAUUUGCUAUUUCUGUUCACUCAUUCAUUUUGUGCUGUAAUUUCAUUUUGUGCUGUGCAUUACUUGAAACUUCUCUCUUCAUUUAAUUACAGGAAAGAAUAAACAAUCCAGAAAAAGGAGAACUAUGAUAAGCUGCAUAAGGGAAGUUAGGGUUUCUGCAUACAGAAAAUUUGGUUCAGAUCCUUUUUUAAUAUAUCUUAAUAUACUGUGUGCUGUAAUGUGUGUAUAUAUAUUUUGUGCUUUUGCACACAUGUAACUCUGUUUAGGCUGCUGUUUAUCAUGUGACUGUAUAUGGAAGUUCUCAGGUGCUCUGCUGUAUUUCAUUGGCUCUGUUAAAAAACUUAACAGCUUAAAACUUUUUUUUUUUUUUUUUGCUUAGGAGGUGCAACAGUUGUAUGAUCACAAAAUUUAGAGUUUUGUAUGGAGGAGUUAGUCACUUGUCUCUCACUUAAGUUAAUUGCUGGAGAUUUCUCCAAAAUUCAAUCAUGUCAUAAAUAUUUCUGAUGAUGUUCUUGUUUAUUCUCAAUCAUUUAUUUAGAGAAAUAAUUCUUAUUAAUAAAUCAGCUUAACAAUCUUGGCUUGGAAUUUUCUGUUCUACUUAAAAACAUACUGGGAUGACUUAAAAAGAUAUUUAACAAGAGAAAUUGGAAAAUAAGCUUCCAUUAUAGCUCAUUAUACUAUGUUUCUUUCACUAAAAUGAUCUGUCUUUUCAUAUACUCUCAUUUAAACAUUGAUUCAUCUUUCAUCAUUCCAUGUUAUUAUAUAGGUAUCAAUAAAUUAGAAAGAGAAGGAUUAUAUAACCACUAUUUAAUGGCCAGCUUUUUUGGUUGCCUAUUUGAACAAUGCAAUUUUACUAGAGCUUAUCUGGGCUAGCAGUAGAUAGGCCAGUGUCCACAGGUGCCACUUAAUUAAUAAUUUUUUUCCAAUUUUUAAAUGGAGGCAAAGGUGCAUAAACCCAUUCUUUGCUGAAGUUAUUUUUGGGACAUUUAUUUGACAUUGAUGGAAAUUUUGCCAAAGCCAAGACAGCAGUAGAACUGGAUCUGAAAAGUUUGUAAAGAACAAGUAUGAAUUUGUCAGUUGACUCUUAUUAUUUAGUCAGUAUCCAAGAAAACAAUUCAUUUGUAUAAAAGGUUUGGAAGAAUUGUUUUCAUAUGACCUUGUAAUGCAAAUCUAGCAAUGCUUAAACUCCCUCCAAAGGAAAUGGUGCCAGAUGUGGUUGACCAUUAUAGUUACACAUAUGGCUUCAACUCCAGUGAAAUACAGUAAAUAUGAAAGAAAUUCCACAUGAAUUCAAGUAAAUGUAAUCUUAAAAUUUGAAAGAAGAAAGCAACACACGUGGACUCAAUUCAAACUGACAUAAACAUUAGCAUUAUACAGGUUUAGAUAAAACCUGUCUUCUAAAAUGUUCUUCAUUUAAACAUCUAAAUUCUUAACUACCAUAAUAAUAAUGCUUAAUGUUUUUUUCUGCCAGCACAGUCUUCUAAAAAACUGAACUAAUACCUGGCUGCAUCCUUAUGUGAAGUAAUUGUACCUAAAGCUGAUGACCUCACAUAUAACUGGGUGUUGUGUUCAUUCAAACUUGAAAACAUUUUCAGAAGUGUGGAAACUGACAGCAUUUCUUUUAUUUUGAAGAGAGUUAUGUUUUCCUUAUGGAAGCCAAUCAAACUCUAAGCAAUUACAGAACACACUGUCUCUUCUGUACCUUUGCAAUACUGUGGAGUGGUAGUGGAUUCAGUGCAUUAUAUUGCCUAGAUAUUACCUGCAAAAUUAUAGGAGAGUGAUACAUGUAUUACUGCAGGAUGUAGAAGCUCUGCUUUAGUUCAUGCAUGCUGUGAAAACAGUCACACUAUGAAAUGCUCUAUGCCUAGACAACCAUGUACAUAGGUUACAUACAGUACGAGAAAAAGACAAAGCACAGCAAUAUACAACUUUUUAAUGAGUAAUACAUAUCAGGAAUAUAAACCCAAUAUACUGUAGGGUUUACAAUUCAUGCUAUAAUAUUUUAUUUCUUUAAUCUUAAAGUCAGUCUUCAAAUAUAUGAGAUAAAAAUGCACUCAGGUACUCAGAACUCUCAGUCAGCAUGUAGAGUCUGAACCUAUGUGGGCUGUCCACAUGCGUCCUAUGUGUUCUGCAGCAUCUCUUCCUCCUCUCUUUUUGUGGUCAAGGCUUGUUACAUAGAUCUCUUGAAGAGAUAGGUGAAUAAAAAAAUAGAGAUCAGAAGAUUUCUGAUACACUGAUGUAUGUAAAAUAAAAAGUUUUUUGGCUGAUGAGCAUCACCAAAGAGUGGAGGAACUGACUUUUUUUGUUUACAAAACCCUACAAUUACUGAUUUUUUAUGGAGUACAAAAGUGAAUAAACUGGUUUGUGCUUGGUGAAGUUCAACAUUUUUUCAGUAAUAAGAAUGCAAAUAUAGUAAUAUGAAGACUAUACCACUCACUGUCUAAUUUAUAUGAAAACUAAGCUUUGUCUUUUUGCCUACUGAGAAUUACACUGUAAAUUAUAUAAUGUACUUAACUUAGUUUUAAUCUGAGUAAUGUUUUUGUUGUGGUUGCAGCCAUUCUAGUUCUGUGUCCAUGCAAUCCUUAUUGCACAUAGAUUGGUAGUUUACAAGUAAAUAAUGUGUUACAGGCAAACAAGUUAUUCUAAUUUCUUGGCCCACCUCUGUUUUUUUUCUUUAAAGUAGGAGAACGAUUACUUUAAAUGUGCUUCUUAAUCAGUAUCAGAAUUGUUGUUUUACAGUAUGAGAAAACUGUUGUCACUUUGUGGUCAGCAUUUUUCUUUGAACAGGCAACUGACUUUAUGCUCUGCAUGUUUCACAGAUUUAAAAGGAAUCAGGUGGAUGAUCCCAGUUCUCUACAUUAAGAGGUUUUGUAUGCGGAAAGAAUGGUUUUGUUCGUUGUCAGUUGCUGAGGUUUGGAGUUGUGGAUUAUUCUGGGAUAUGCAUCUGAAUUCCUUUUCUAGUCCCACAAAUGUUGCAUGCUGCCAACUUUUUGACUUUGGAUCUCUAAAUUAAGGCCAGUUCCUUUGCUCAUCCCACAAACUCUUUCAUGUUUUUUAACCGCAGCCUGAGAAAGGCGCCUUGGUUUCAACAGCAGCAGACCAGCAUGUGUUUACUUAAUUCCUAAGACAUGAUGACAGUGGUCUCUGUGCCACUAAAAGCUUUUUUCUUUAUUAUUUUCUGUUGAAGCUGAUUUCUAAAAGUUUUUCGCAUGCCAUAUGUUUUAUUACAGUGUCUUCUGUAUGACCCAUGAACAGCAAUGGAAAUCAAAGGAACAGCACAUGAAACUGCAAAUUGCUAAACUAGAGAUGGCUAUCAAAUCUGAUUUAGCAGACAAAAAUGCAAUCCUUGACAAGAUCAAAGUAGAAAGAGGAAGUUAUUACAUCACUUGGUUUUAUGAAGUCAUGAAUUACACCAGGUGAAACAAUACAGCAGCUGAAUGUAGAAUGCAGAUGAAACAAUUUCCCUGCAGAGGACACUCCACUGUCACUUCCAAACCCAGCAGGUGGUCAGAGGAGUGACUGCAACUAUAGAACUGUAAAAACAGUACUGUCCUCUGAAGUCUGCUCUGAAGUUGACAGUUCACUGAGUGAUUUGUUCAAGAAUACACAAAUUGUUUUGAAUCUCUAAGAAUAGCAUCCAAUCUGUCCUGUAAUAGGUCUUUCAACAGGUUUUUGAUUCACAAGAUGACAGUGCAGUAAUUGGGAAGCUCAAAGGAGCAGUGGAAGCCCUCAUGCGCUGCCCUCAGUCGAGAGGGGAAUGCAAAGAUGACUACGAGGCAUGAAAGGAAGUUUGCCUACAGAAGAGCCUUCUCCCAGUGUAAAUACAUGCUUGAUAGUGCAUCAAAGAUGAGAUCUUUGUAAUUCCUACAGUAUAUUUAAUGUAUAAUUUAUAUGAAAAGGACGCUUGAUUUGUAGUUGUAAAGUUUUGUAUACUUUUCAGUCUGUUUGUUUUUAUAUUUCCCCCCUAAGGCUAAGAAUAUCUCCACAAUGGACAACGUCUUGUAAAUAAUUAAUACCUACAUGAUUGAACGACGUGCUUUAUUUGCAUUUUUAAGAUUUUUUCCUACAUAAAACAGUAAUAAAAAUGCAAGUCAAAAUUUUAAUUUUUAAUAAAAAAACCAUAAGCCUUAGAAAACUGAUUAAAAAUACUUUUAUGUUAUCCCUAAUCACCCCGUUAAAUGGAAUGCCUGUGAUUAGCCUCAUUAAGAAUUUUAUACUGUGAAGAUUUUAUUAAAAGCAAUAUAUGAAAAUUACUUGGAUUAAUGCGUUAAUCUGCCUCUUUAAAAUGCUAAUAUCCAUUUUAUGCACAUUAAAUCUCAGUAUGUGUUUUCUUUGAUGCAUGCAGUUCCUAUCAAUUAAAUAUAAAAAAUUAGGCUAGUUGCAGGACUUAUUAAAUUACUGCACCCUUUUUUAAAUAACUUUUACCCUUCUACUAACAUUAUAAUCAGCUGUUUAUGGUUACCAUAAUUUGAAGUAGGGGGAGGGCAGGCGCAAUCAUUUUCUGUACAGGAGAUGAUUUACUUGCAGCCAACAUUGUCAAAGCACAAAAAGAAGCCAUACAGUAUCAGAUUUUGCUUCACCUACUUUGGGCUUUAGGGAUGGGCAACUGUUUUCAUUUGGGUUUUGUCACUUUUAGAACUUACAUCAAACAUAUACAAUAAAUUGUUGUAUCUGAAUAACUACUGUCUAGUGUGGAAAGUUAAUUUUACAGCUUUUAACCAAUCUCAGUGAAGGGUUUAAUUGAUAUUUUUAAUGGAGCUGUGAAUCAAUGCUGCAAAAGGAUUGUCUCUUGAGAACGAGGAUAUAAUACAUUUCAUUUUUUAAUUUACUUUUUUAUUUGUCAUUUUCUUCAAAGGAUUUUAUAGACUGUGGAUUUCCACUGUUUGCAAACAGGCUAUGUUUCUUCAUAAGCAUAUGUAAAGUAUUCAGAGAGAUAAGUAAUUUAUUAAAAUCUACCUAAUUUGCCGUGAUAUAUUAAAUCUCUGCUUCAGUGAUCACAGACCAUUUCAUUUAGAGAAUUAGGCAUUCCCUCUUUGUGUGAUUAAAGCUCUGGAAAAUGAGUUCUUUGCUCCUAUUUGUGAACAUUCAAAGCCUGCUAAUGGCAAGAAGAUGGAAUAGAUUAUGAGACAAUUCAUUACAGUUCAACAGAAAAAAACCCUGCUAUAAUGCAGAAAUGCAAGUAUGAAUAUCUGCAUAUAGUUUGAACCAUCUGUGCUCUAAUGCCUUCAGUAAUGGCUCUUCGUCUUCAGUAGGCUUUGAAAUGACAUCCAUACAAUAUUAAUUUGUUGAUGUACAUUAUGAGGCCAAUGGAAUGAAUAUAUUCUGACCACAGAAAUCUCUGAAUUCCAGCAUGGUCUGCUGGUUGACUCCAUUUUAGGACUUACCAUCUUCAGUAGGGCUUCUCAUCCAGACUUUGCCAAUCCUCACAGUGUUUCAUUCCUCUGGAACUUUAGGAGACCACAGACAGCUGCAUUCCUAAACCCCUCCAUUCUUCAGUUAAUGGCCAUAUGUUUGUUGUCAUUUGGGCUGGCACUUAGUUCAUCAUUUUGGCCACUAUUUCUAGCUUUUUUUGGCUCUGUGCAUCCAUAUUGUCAAUAAGACUGUUAUUAUACAUUACAAUAAUUUGAAACAGCUAGAUUCAACACUGAGAUUAACUGAGUGGCUUUUUAGAAAUUUAGUUGUGGUAUUCUGUCAGGAGGUUCUUAUUAUUCUUCUAAUACUUUGCAAACCAAACUAAAUAUCCUGCACAUAAACAGAGAAGCAAAUUGUAUUGAGUUUUUGUGUGUGACUGUUUACUGACUUGCAGGAGAACUAUGUUAACUGGUGCUUGUUUUCUUCUGAAAUAAACCAUGUGGUAGAAUUAGAAGAUCAGUGAUGUUCAUCUCACUUAAACAUUUACAGUAACACCCUUAACACUUAAUCUUCGCCAUCUGAAGUUGGAAACUUAGAAACCAAGAGUUCAUAUAUUCAUUAAACACAGAUCUCUUCAGUAAGUUACUGCAAAAUAUUCCAGUUGACAUUUGGUUACAUUGUGUUAACUGCUCUCAGUGACUCCAACAUUAACAUGUAUAAUUUGCCUCAGGUUCCUAGACAUAUUUCUUCGUAAGGCUCACUGUUACUCAGUUUCGGAUUUUAAGAAAAUAAUCCUGAUUUCUAUUCAUGUUUAUUGCUAAAACAGAUACAAUAUCCAGCAAGGAUUUUCCCAACAGAUGGAUUGUAUUAUCUUAUGCAACAUAAACAUAUGAUCAUACCAGAAAGUUUUGUUCUUGCAUUAAGUAGUCUGUAUUUCCAAAAUGCUCUUAAAUCUUAAUUCUAAAUGCUGCAUUGUGCAGGGAAAGUGGAAGAUGUAACCUAGUACUAUUUUGUCUAGAUUUUAGCAAUGAACAGCUUGAAGAAAACAUGCAUCUAUGUAAUCUCUAGGUUAAGGUACAAGGGAGCCAUAUUAAAGCUGGGUACUACCAUGCUUUAAAAUGUUACUCAAUAACAUUCAUUUUUGUGGAACAGAUGAAUUUUUACUGUGGUGUAACUUGGUCACCACCGUGGUUCUGCAUAAGAUGAAAUGACAGUGUCAAAUGAUCAGUUUUGUUAUUAUAUCUUUUCCCAUUUAUUGUUACAGCUUAUAGCUUUAUUGUGAUAACUUCUGGUGUGAUAUGAUAACUGCUGUUCUCCAGGUUCCCAGGAAUGUUGAUCAGGAUGGAAAUUUUUUUUUAGCUCAAAUAAACUUUAUCUGUUUUAAAUGUUGCUUUUAACCUUUUAUAACCUUAACCUAGGGAAAAAAAUUUUAAGAAUAAAUACCUCAUAAACCAGGUAACAGCUCUGUGAAGUCAAUCAGUCUUGCUGUAGUGUAAGUCAAAGCUUAUCUCAUUAUAUGAGUAGAUAUGACAAAAUUUAUAACUUGUUUAGUAUAUCAGUAUUAAAGGUAAUAGUAAUAUUGUCUUAAAAUGCUUCUUAUUAUUUCAAGGCAUAGUGAGACAUUUUCAUAGUUCAAGAAGUCUCCAAACAUAUUAAGACUAAAUAUUAGCUGCCAAAUUUAUUUUUUUUGUUUUGUGUUGGAACUGAGAAAUAAUUAAAAUACAGGUUUAAAAGUGUGCUACAAACCAUAUUUCAAAUUUCAGAGCCAGAGAAGUAUUGC